Molecule: RNase P RNA, 343 nt
Filed under: Clostridia bacterium
Lineage: Bacteria; Bacillati; Bacillota; Clostridia
Description: RNase P RNA component class A
Rfam family: Bacterial RNase P class A
About the family: Ribonuclease P (RNase P) is a ubiquitous endoribonuclease, found in archaea, bacteria and eukarya as well as chloroplasts and mitochondria.
Source: RNAcentral
UAAGUAAAUCAGAUGGUCGCGGGCAUAGAGAUAUGCCUGAGGAAAGUCCGAACUCCGCAGGGCAGGGUGCUGGAUAACGUCCAGUGGGGGCGACCCUAAGGCAAGUGCCACAGAGAUAUACCGCCCGGAUUUUCCGGGUAAGGGUGGAAAGGUGAGGUAAGAGCUCACCAGCAGGCUAGGUGACUAGCCUGGCUCGGUAAACCCCACCUGGAGCAAGGCUAAUAGGGGAACACAUGGAGUUGCCCGCUCCGUUCCCGGGUAAUGCUGCAUGAGGUAUCAGGCAACUGGUAUCCUAGACAGAUGACCAUCUUCAACAGAAUUCGGCUUAUGAUUUGCUUAACCG